CCUUCCCUGCCCCAUAGGAUGGCCCCCGAAGUCAUCCUGGCCAUGGACGAGGGACAAUACGACGGCAAAGCCGACGUCUGGUCCUUGGGCAUCACCUGCAUCGAGUUGGGUGAGGACUCGGGGGGCAGCGGAGGUACUUAUGGGGCUGAGCCCCACGGCGCCGCCGCCCCCUAAGUUUUCUGGCCCCACAGCGGAGAGGAAACCCCCCCUUUUCAACAUGAACGCGAUGAGUGCCUUAUACCACAUAGCGCAGAACGAGUCCCCCGUCCUCCAGGCCAAUCACUGGUGAGAUCCCUCCCCCUCCAACCAAUCAACCUUCUCCCACUCCCCCGCCUUCCUUCCGGGACGCGUGGGUCCGCCCUAGAUCCGUGGGGCAGACCCCCUAGACCCCAUAACUACCUUCAGUUAUGGGGCGGCGGGUUCCUUACGGGCGGUAGGUCGGAAUAUUUCCGCAAUUUCGUGGAUUCGUGUCUCCAGAAGAUCCCACCCGAUCGUCCCACCUCCGAGGUUCUCCUCAAGGUAGAGCUCGAGUUGGAGGGGGGGGGGAGGGGGGUUGGGGAGGGUGGGGGUCACCGUGGGAUGUCCCCAACUUCGGGGGGGACGUCCCCCCAACCGUCUUCCUGCCCCCCAACUUUGGUGUCCCUUUCUCCAGCAUCGGUUUCUCCUCCGAGAACGUCCCCAGAGGGUGGUCCUGGACCUCAUCCAAAGGACCAAAGACGCCGUCCGGGAGUUGGACAACCUCCAGUAUCGCAAGAUGAAGAAGAUCCUCUUCCAGGAGGCCCCCAACGGACCCGAUCCCGGCGAGGAAGAGGAGGAGGUGGAGCCCUUCCUGCCGCGGGCGGGGACGGUGGGGAGCAUGGAGAGCAGCCACUCGGUCCCCAGCAUGUCCAUCAGCGCCUCCAGCCAGAGCAGCAGCGUCAACAGUUUGGCCGACCCUUCGGAGGAGGAGGAGGAGGAGGAGGUGGAGGAAGACGAUGAAGAAGACGAGGAGGAGGAGGAGGAAGAGGAGGAAGAAGGUCCCCACUUGGCCAUGCUGCAGGAGGGGGAGCACACGGUCACCUCCAACAGCUCCGUCAUCCAUUGCUUGCCCGUGAGUUGGCUUCAACGGGGGGGACGGAGGGAUGGGGGGCCACCACCUUGGGGACGUCCCGAUGGAGGGCCACCACCUUGGGGAAGGUCCAGAUGGGGGGCCACCACCCUGGGGGGCGGUUCUGAGGCGUGGGGCCACCACCGUGGGGACGUCCCGAUGGGGGGCCACCGUGAUAGAGAAGUUCUGAUGGGGGUUCUACCAUCUCUAGAAGGUGCUAAGAUGGGGGGCCACCACCAUGGGGAUGUCCCGAUGGAGGGCCGCCACCUUGGGGAGGUCAUUAUGGGGUUCCACCACCAUGAGGAAACCCCAUUGAGAUGCACCACGGGGAGAUCCCAUUGAAAUCCGCCACCCUGGGGAGGUCCUUAUGGGGGUCCACCACCACGAGAAGGUCUUUAUGGAGGUCCACCACCCUGGGGAGGUCGUUAUGGGGUUCCACCACUAUGAGGAAACCCUAUUGAGAUCCACCACGGGGAGAUCCCAUUGAGAUCCACCACCCUGGGGAGGUCGUUAUGGGGGUCCACCACCACGAGAAGGUCUUUAUGGAGGUCCACCACCUUGGGGAGGUUGUUACGGGGUUCCACCACUAUGAGGAAACCCUAUUGAGGUCCAUCACGGGGAGAUCCCAUUGAGAUCCACCACCCCGGGGAGGUCGUUAUGGGGGUCCAUCUCUAUGGGGCAGCCCCACUGAGAUCUCUUACCCCAGGAACGUCCUGUUGGGGGUCCACCACUAUGAGGAAACCCCAUUGAGAUCCACCACGGGGAGAUCCCAUUGAAAUCCACCACCCUGGGGAGGUCCUUAUGGGGGUCCACCCCCACGAGUAGGUCGUUAUGGGGGUCCACCACCCCGGGGAGGUCAUUAUGGGGGUCCACCACCAUGGGGCAGCCCCAUUGAGAUCUCUUACCCCAAGGGACGUGCUGUUGGGGGUCCAUCACUUUGAGGAAACCCUAUUGAGAUCCACCACGGGGAGACGCCAUUGAGGUCCACCACCCUGGGGAGGUCAUUAUGGGGGUCCACCACCAUGAGAAGGUCUUUAUGGAGGUCCACCACCCUGGGGAGGUCGUUACGGGGUUCCACUACUAUGAGGAAACCCUAUUGAGAUCCACCACGGGGAGAUCCCAUUGAGAUCCACCAC
Long non-coding RNA from Calidris pygmaea (Spoon-billed sandpiper), 2223 nucleotides. The record is from Ensembl. Lineage: Eukaryota; Metazoa; Chordata; Aves; Charadriiformes; Scolopacidae.